Molecule: ribosomal RNA, 339 nt
Filed under: Triticum aestivum (bread wheat)
Lineage: Eukaryota; Viridiplantae; Streptophyta; Magnoliopsida; Poales; Poaceae
Description: partial small subunit ribosomal RNA
Source: RNAcentral
AUGAGGAUAAUAAAUCUGGCUAAUGAGUUUCUUACUACAUAUGAGAGUCCCGUGAAGAUUCAGAAAAGUAGACCAACUAGGCUUACAGCUAAAAGAAGAAAAAUACCUGUAGAAGUUGGUGGUCAAGCUCCACCUGCAGCCACAAUAGCACCGGUUGCUUCCACAGUAGAUCCAGGUGCCUCCAACAACCACAACAGAUCCAUAGCUGCAGGUGCUUGUACAACAAGUCCAUCAACUCCAGCAACAACUUCUGUAGAGAGAGAGAGCCAAAAUUGCAAACAAAACAAAUUCUGCAAAGACAAAAGGAGCAGUAAGACCAAAACCAGCUGCAACUUUUGA